AGAGUUUGAUCAUGGCUCAGAACGAACGCUGGCGGCGUGGAUAAGACAUGCAAGUCGAACGAGACUUUUCGUUGUAGCAAUACGAUGGAAAGUUUAGUGGCGAACGGGUGCUUAACACGUGGGCAACCUGCCAUGAAGUGGGGGAUAGCUCGCCGAAAGGCGAAUUAAUACCGCAUGUGAUUAGAAAGGACAUCCUUUCGAAAUUAGAGUCGGGGCAACCUGACGCUUCUUGUGGGGCCCGCGGCCUAUCAGCUAGUUGGUGAGGUAACGGCUCACCAAGGCUUUGACGGGUAGCUGGUCUGAGAGGACGACCAGCCACACUGGGACUGAGACACGGCCCAGACACCUACGGGUGGCAGCAGUCGAGAAUCUUUGACAAUGGGGGAAACCCUGAUCGAGCGACGCCGCGUGGAGGAUGAAGGUCUUCGGAUUGUAAACUCCUGUCAUUUGGGAACAAGGUGCACAUGUUAACUGUAUGUGCAUUGAUAGUACCAGAAGAGGAAGAGACGGCUAACUCUGUGCCAGCCGCCGCGGUAAUUC
This 540-nucleotide ribosomal RNA is filed under the name uncultured bacterium. Its description in RNAcentral is "bacterial SSU rRNA". It matches the Rfam family "Bacterial small subunit ribosomal RNA", at positions 8 to 526 of the family's 1533-position model. The record is from RNAcentral.